RNAcentral lists this ribosomal RNA (253 nucleotides) under uncultured bacterium. RNAcentral's name for it is "partial 16S ribosomal RNA". It matches the Rfam family "Bacterial small subunit ribosomal RNA", at positions 524 to 776 of the family's 1533-position model. The record is from RNAcentral.
GACGAACCGUCCAAACGUUAUUCGGUAUCACUGGGCUUAAAGAGUUCGUAGGCGGCUCCACAAGUCAGGUGUGAAAUCCCACAGCUCAACUGUGGAACUGCGCUUGAAACCGUGUGGCUUGAGGGAGAUAGAGGUGAGCGGAACAGAUGGUGGAGCGGUGAAAUGUGUAGAUAUCAUCUGGAACACCGAUGGCGAAAGCGGCUCACUGGAUCUUUACUGACGCUGAGGAACGAAAGCUUGGGUAGCGAACGGG